This 4822-nucleotide long non-coding RNA is filed under the name Ananas comosus (pineapple). RNAcentral's name for it is "long non-coding RNA (ACOM_LNC024366)". Lineage: Eukaryota; Viridiplantae; Streptophyta; Magnoliopsida; Poales; Bromeliaceae. The record is from RNAcentral.
AAAUUCCUUACAUUUCACUUCAUUACAUUGCUUGCAUCAUUUCCUUUUACAUCACACUUACCUCAAAAUGAGCUUUACAUUCUUCUCUUUACAUCACUAGUCAUCAAAUACAAAAGAUGAACAUAAGGUACUCUACUAACAAAAUGUAACCCAACUCAACUCUGGUGGCCUCUGUCUAAGGUGCGAUACCUUUACCUCGGUCGCUCGCCGGCUCGCUCGGUCCCAGCUCUGUGGAAAUAGUGGGGUGAGAACUACAACAAAGUUUCCAGUGGGUUCGGCCUCAACAUCACCGACUUUCCCACUAGGACUAACUCAGGCAUAAUAGAAAAAAUAAGCUGCAUAUAGUAACNCACGCGAUGCAUCCGGUCUCUCUUUGGGGGACCGGUCUCUCGGGGACCGGUCUCUCAAGCAGGGACCGGUUCCCGAGAGCUAGUUUCUCAGGACUUAGCCGAUUUUUCGGCUGUCUCAUUCCUCACGCGUUCGGGGACCGGUCUCUCCCACUAGGGACCGGUCCCCGAGAGCUCAAAACUGCAGAAUGCAGAUUUUGAUCCUUUAGCUCUCGAAAACCUUCCGUAAUUCACUUUUGCUCAUUUUAACACCUUCGGACUUUCCGAAGUGUACCAUCCACGCACUUUGGUCAAUUUGACUAAAGUUCGAUAUUUAUUUUUCGAAUUUUCGGUAUAUUACAUUCCUGCACUAAUCUCAUAGUGUUUCACUACACUAACGUUCUUAUGCCACUCGUUCUCGUGUUCAACACUAACUAGAUGCCACUUGUUCUUGUUACAUGUUUCCAAUAUUCUAGUUUACACUUUACUAGGUUUUCAUCCACAUAGGCACAUUCAUCAUUUAUCAUCUCAUUAUAGUGUUCGAAGUCAUCAUGUCACGCUAUCAUGCAUACUAGGUCCAAGUGUCAAGCAAGCGACUCUACACUACCACUAGCAUGCAAGAAUAUACAACAACAUACUAAAUACCCUAUAAUGCAAUAUGGCAAGAUGCUUAUGAGAUCAACAGUGAGCCUCAGACAUAGGGAGCAGUUCAACUGCUUCGGGAUGGCACCACCCACCUUUUGACGAUGCUACGAAGUAGGAAACCCAAUCUCACGAUCACUCGUCGCCGCUUCGACCUCUCGAGCGGAAACGAAGCCGAAACGCUCUUCGCUUGGCGAUAUCUCUGCACCGACUCGACGAAUCGUCGAACCGUCGCCGCCAACGCGUUUAAACACCUAUCAAUUAGGUUUACAACCAACUAAUUUAGAUCAAAACCCUAAAUUUUCCAAAACAUUAGAGCCCUAGGUUUCAACAAUGCGAAAAUCCACGAUUCUAGCUUGAGAUUCAAGCAUGAAGCAUCUACUAGGGACACUAAAGUUCCAACAAAACCAUUUCUAGAGUAUUUAAACUCUACCCUAAAAAUCCACCAUUAAUGCUCUAGGAGCUUACCUCUCAAGCAUGCUCCAAACUAGAGGAAGAAGAUGAAGAAGAUAAUGCCUUCCUCCUUGACCUUCUUCUCCUUCUACUCCUUCUCCUUCUUUCACCUUAGAGGGAGAGAGAGCAAGAGCUUAGAGAGAGAGAGGAGUGUUUAGGUUUAGCUUUGGGGAAGAAAUGAGAAGAGAGAGAGAGCAAGAGCUCUCAUAUAGCUUCACUCAUGUAACAUUGCAUUUUAGCCACUCAACUUUCCAACCAUGAAACAGCCCAUCAUUGGGCAUUUUCGGGCACGGGGACCGGCCCCUCUAAGGGAGGACCGAUCCCCGAGAGUAAUUUUUCCUAGGUUGAGCUUCGGCUCAACCCUUGCACGCGUACGGGAACCGGUCCCUCUUAAGGCGGACCGGUUCCCGAGAGCAACCUUGGCAGGUUGAGCAUCAGCUUUGUAGCACACUGGACCUUUGCAAAUUGCAUGGUUCGAGUGUUUGAUGUGUACUCCGAACUUUUCCACACUUGGUGGAAGGCCGUAGAUGAUAUUUCGGCCUAAAAGUUCGAUCUCUAGAGUUUUGACUUUGUCCUGAGAGUUUUCACUCUCGGAGACCGGUCCUUGAUAUGAGAGACCGGUCCCCUCAGCUCAGUGUUGCGGCAGCUGGCGAGGCAACAGGUCCCUGGCAGGCGAGACCGGUCCCCGAGCGCGUCUGCGCGGGGAGAGUCCGGUCCCGUGCGGGUAGAGACCGGUUCCCGAACGUUGGUUUUGCGGGACGAACUGAGAGACCGGUCCCAGGUGUCGGGGAGACCGGUCCCUCAGUGCGAAAACAGCCUAGACCGGGCAGUGCACGGAGUGGAUUUUUGAGGGACCUAAGUGGAUUUUGUUGCUUUUGAUGGCUUAUAGAGCCUCUUCUCUUCCUCUCACUCUCAUUUUUUCUCCCUCACACCCAUUCUAGAGAGAGAAAGAGGAGGAGAAGAAGAAGGAGUUGGAGGAGAAGAGCUCACUUGGAGGCCUUGGAGCAUCAUCUUCUUCCUCAUUUCUCACCUUGGUAGCUUGGAGCUUGCUUUUGAAGCUUGGUGGUGGACCACUCCUCAACCCUUGAGGAUCUUGGACUUGGUUUGGAGCUUCCUAGAGGUAUGUGACUAGUUCUUCUCCUCUAGAUUCUAGUUUUGAAGCUUUUUGCUUGAUGAAACCCUAGAUUGGGAUUCUAGGGUUAGUUUUGGGGCUUUUUGAUUUGAGAGCUUUGGAACCUUUUUGAUUGGUUUAGAACCUUCCUUUAGGUUGGAUUGGGAGGGUUCUUGCCCCCAUUUGGAGUUUGAGUGAGGAUUUCUUCACUUAAGGUGAGUUUCCUCCAUCUUAGCCUAGGUUACUUAUUGAUUGAGCUUAGGGUUGAUCGUAAGGUUUGCUUAACCCCUGUUCCUACAUCUUUAGGGUGCUAGGAGACUAGUCGGCACCUUCGUCGGAGCUUACGAAGAAUCGCGAGAGUUGUGGUAGGUUUGACUUCAUGAAAACGGGGCAAAAUGGCCCCUAUGCUUUCUAAAAUCUUCGUAAAGUUUUUUUUAAGAGCAAAUCCAUAUUAAACAUGAUUUAUAUGAAUUUUAGAACACUUGAUAUGCAUGCCUUAUAUAUACCUUGAAAUUUACACUCUAUAUAGUAGAGCUAUAUGUGUAGACUGCAUGCAUUGUGAAAGGUGGUUGGCUUUGCAAGUUGAGAACAUGUCUCUUAUAUUUGAAAUGAGUAGAAUUAUGCAUCAUGAACAUAAAUGCCAUGCUUGAACUCGUUGAACAAUAGUGUCAUAAAGGGGCACUUGAACCUAGCAAACUAUGAGAAUGCAACAUAGAGACAUAGCGAUAGGCCAUUGGGUAUCGACUAUAUUCCAUGUUUUAGACAUGAUGACAUAGUGAUAGGCCAUCGACACAGUUGACAUGUAUUCCAUAUUUUAGACAUGAGGACUUGAUGCUUGAGACGGACUGAUAUGCAUGCUUGCCAUUGUGCUCAUUCGCACAUGCUUGUGAGGGUCGCUCCCUACAAGCCGGCACUCCGGAGUUGGCCAUCGCGAUACGUUCGCCGUGCGGGAUUGGGCGCCGAAGUGGAUUGCUGUGGGAAAGGCUCAUUCCUAGGGUGGGGAUGUUGACUACCACGGGGCUAUUAGGCACGGUAAAGCCAGACAGCCUUCGGGUGGGUCUUAUGCCAGACAGCCUUCGGGUGGGUCUUAUCAAAGUUGAACUGUAAACAAUUAAAGUGAUAAGUGCACAUUGACUAGAAUAGUAAACAAUGACAUCUUUACUAUUUACAUCGUGGGCAUUGGAUUAGUUGCAUACUUAUGCAUUUGCAUGUUGGAUACUCUUGUGCACAUACUUGUAGUAAUUGCCUUCUUACUUAUGCAAAUCAUGCUAAGUAGAGAUAUCAUGGUUGAAUAGUAUUCAUAUUUAUUUCCUAGUUGUUCUUAUCGCUUUGGCUUAUACUUGUACACUGACCCACUUUUGUAGUUUUGGGCCUAGUGGCGUAUUUCAAUGAAGUCAGUAAUUACCCACUGAAAACUAUUAUUUAAUAGUUCUCACGCCCCUGUUUCUAUAUGUUUUCCUUUCAGAGCCUUCGGCACCGGCGUAGGCACGGGAUCUCGGCAAGGGUGUCGCGUAGCUAGCUCGGGAGAGAGUCCGUUUUGCGAUAGGUGGUUCCUUCUUUUGUUUGUGUCAGAGAGAGGGAGAGUUUUGGCACCAUGUAUAGAGAGAUCACCUUGUAUUCAGAGUUGUACUUGCUUUGGGACUCCUUUUGUGUUAUCUUAUGUUUUACCUAGCGGAUUAUCAGUUUUAUGAUCUUCUUCUUGUUGUAGCAUCUCGUAGUUACUUUGCUCUGAUACUCCUAGAUGCUUUCUUGUAUUGUUUUAUUUACCGCUUUAUUUUAGACGCCUUAUAUGUUUUAGACGUACGGCGGGUAUGGACACGCGCCGGGCGGGCUUCCGCUGGGUCCCGGGGCGUGACAAGCUCAACCCCCACAUGCUUACAGGAACCGGUCCCCUCCCAGAGGGACCGGUCCCCGAGAGCACAAAACCUGCAACUUGUACAGAUUUUGCACAGCUUGCUCUCGCAGGUCCUUCUCAAUACACUUUUUGCAUUUUUAUCGCAUUCGGACUUUCCGAAGCAUACCAACUCAACAACAAGUCGAUUCUAAUCGAAGUUCAACUCUCGGAUUUUGAUAAUUCAUUUCCUUACAAGCAGCAAAUUAAUUUUUAAACAACAAAAUUUCUGUACCUGUGGGCAUAAGAAACUCAUUAUCUAGAAAUUCAAUCCACUAUCCUAUUCUAGUCAAAAUUCAAAAUUAUUAUUUAUUUGACUACAAUAAAUAAUCAAACUUUAAUUAAAAAGUCAAACUUUAAUUCAAUGUCAGUAAAUUCUUAUACAUUCAUCAUUAUUUA